AAUCAGAAUUAGCAAACCUGCGGUGUAGCUCACACUUUCAAAUACCUUCUUAUAUUUUUGACUGGUAUUCAGCUCUCAUACCUUAUAUUUUUUAUUGGUAUUCAGCUCUGAUACCAAAUGCAACGAUCUGAUUAAUUAACAAUAAUAACUCAUUGGAUCCAAACCAUCAGUCUAAAAUAUUUAAGUUUAGUUAUUAUUGUUAGGAUGCGCAGCCUUUUAUAUUCUUAAUCAGAUUAUUUUUUCAUCCGAUAUAAAACUAUAGAAUUGUUAUAUGAUCAAGAAUAUGAUGUUGUGGUACAGUUGUCACAUUCUAAA
Molecule: long non-coding RNA, 315 nt
Filed under: Ananas comosus (pineapple)
Lineage: Eukaryota; Viridiplantae; Streptophyta; Magnoliopsida; Poales; Bromeliaceae
Description: long non-coding RNA (ACOM_LNC034754)
Source: RNAcentral